GUGGGGAAUUUUGCGCAAUGGGGGAAACCCUGACGCAGCAACGCCGCGUGGAGGAUGAAGUCCUUCGGGACGUAAACUCCUUUCGAUCGGGACGAUUAUGACGGUACCGGAAGAAGAAGCCCCGGCUAACUUCGUGCCAGCAGCCGCGGUAAUACGAGGGGGGCGAGCGUUGUUCGGAAUUAUUGGGCGUAAAGGGUGCGUAGGCGGUUUGGUAAGUCUGAUGUGAAAUCUAUGGGCUCAACUCAUAGUCUGCAUCGGAAACUGCCGGGCUUGAGUAUGGGAGAGGUGAGUGGAAUUCCUGGUGUAGCGGUGAAAUGCGUAGAUAUCAGGAGGAACACCUGUGGCGAAAGCGGCUCACUGGACCAUAACUGACGCUGAUGCACGAAAGCUAGGGGAGCAAACAGGAUUAGAAACCCCAGUAGUCC
This 425-nucleotide ribosomal RNA is filed under the name uncultured bacterium. RNAcentral's name for it is "bacterial SSU rRNA". It matches the Rfam family "Bacterial small subunit ribosomal RNA", at positions 354 to 796 of the family's 1533-position model. The record is from RNAcentral.